UGGAAAUUUUAAUAAAUGCAAUUCCAUUCA
Molecule: non-coding RNA, 30 nt
Filed under: Rattus norvegicus (Norway rat)
Lineage: Eukaryota; Metazoa; Chordata; Mammalia; Rodentia; Muridae
Source: RNAcentral